This 432-nucleotide unclassified non-coding RNA is filed under the name soil metagenome. RNAcentral's name for it is "partial contains 5.8S ribosomal RNA, internal transcribed spacer 2, and large subunit ribosomal RNA". The stretch from base 1 to 120 matches the Rfam family "5.8S ribosomal RNA", at positions 35 to 154 of the family's 154-position model. The record is from RNAcentral.
GAUGAAGAACGCAGCGAAAUGCGAUACGUAAUGUGAAUUGCAGAAUUCAGUGAAUCAUCGAAUCUUUGAACGCAUAUUGCGCUCUUUGGUAUUCCGAAGAGCAUGCUUGUUUGAGUAUCAGUAAACACCUCAAAGUCUUUUUUUUUUCUUGAAGAAAAAGACCUUGGACUUGAGCAAUCCCAACUCUUCUUUCAGAAGAGGCGGGUUGCUUGAAAUGCAGGUGCAGCUGGACAUUCUCCUGAGCUAAAAGCAUAUUCAUUUAGUCCCGUCAAACGGAUUAUUACUUUUGCUGCAGCUAACAUAAAGGGAGUUUGACCAUUUUGGCUGACUGAUGCAGGAAUUUCACAAGAGUCUUCAAAACGCUCUUGUUAAACUCGAUCUCAAAUCAAGUAAGACUACCCGCUGAACUUAAGCAUAUCAAUAAGCGGAGGA